CCUGGUAGUCCACGCCGUAAACGAUGUCGACUUGGAGGCUGUUUCCUUGAGAAGUGGCUUCCGGAGCUAACGCGUUAAGUCGACCGCCUGGGGAGUACGGCCGCAAGGUUAAAACUCAAAUGAAUUGACGGGGGCCCGCACAAGCGGUGGAGCAUGUGGUUUAAUUCGAUGCAACGCGAAGAACCUUACCUACUCUUGACAUCCACGGAAUUUGGCAGAGAUGCCUUAGUGCCUUCGGGAACCGUGAGACAGGUGCUGCAUGGCUGUCGUCAGCUCGUGUUGUGAAAUGUUGGGUUAAGUCCCGCAACGAGCGCAACCCUUAUCCUUUGUUGCCAGCGAUUCGGUCGGGAACUCAAAGGAGACUGCCGGUGAUAAACCGGAGGAAGGUGGGGAUGACGUCAAGUCAUCAUGGCCCUUACGAGUAGGGCUACACACGUGCUACAAUGGCGCAUACAAAGAGAAGCGACCUCGCGAGAGCAAGCGGACCUCAUAAAGUGCGUCGUAGUCCGGAUCGGAGUCUGCAACUCGACUCCGUGAAGUCGGAAUCGCUAGUAAUCGUGGAUCAGAAUGCCACGGUGAAUACGUUCCCGGGCCUUGUACACACCGCCCGUCACACCAUGGGAGUGGGUUGCAAAAGAAGUAGGUAGCUUAACCUUCGGGAGGGCGCUUACCACUUUGUGAUUCAUGACUGGGGUGAAGUCGUAACAAGGU
Molecule: ribosomal RNA, 711 nt
Filed under: uncultured bacterium
Lineage: Bacteria
Description: bacterial SSU rRNA
Rfam family: Bacterial small subunit ribosomal RNA
Source: RNAcentral